This 567-nucleotide ribosomal RNA is filed under the name uncultured bacterium. RNAcentral's name for it is "bacterial SSU rRNA". It matches the Rfam family "Bacterial small subunit ribosomal RNA", at positions 284 to 842 of the family's 1533-position model. The record is from RNAcentral.
UAGCCGAGUUGAGAGACUGAUCGGCCACAAUGGAACUGAGACACGGUCCAUACUCCUACGGGAGGCAGCAGUAGGGAAUCUUCCACAAUGGGCGCAAGCCUGAUGGAGCAACACCGCGUGAGUGAAGAAGGGUUUCGGCUCGUAAAGCUCUGUUGUUGGAGAAGAACGUGCGUGAGAGUAACUGUUCACGCAGUGACGGUAUCCAACCAGAAAGUCGCGGCUAACUACGUGCCAGCAGCCGCGGUAAUACGUAGGUGGCAAGCGUUAUCCGGAUUUAUUGGGCGUAAAGCGAGCGCAGGCGGUUGCUUAGGUCUGAUGUGAAAGCCUUCGGCUUAACCGAAGAAGUGCAUCGGAAACCGGGCGACUUGAGUGCAGAAGAGGACAGUGGAACUCCAUGUGUAGCGGUGGAAUGCGUAGAUAUAUGGAAGAACACCAGUGGCGAAGGCGGCUGUCUGGUCUGCAACUGACGCUGAGGCUCGAAAGCAUGGGUAGCGAACAGGAUUAGAUACCCUGGUAGUCCAUGCCGUAAACGAUGAGUGCUAGGUGUUGGAGGGUUUCCGCCCUUCA